This 255-nucleotide ribosomal RNA is filed under the name uncultured bacterium. Its description in RNAcentral is "partial 16S ribosomal RNA". It matches the Rfam family "Bacterial small subunit ribosomal RNA", at positions 15 to 264 of the family's 1533-position model. The record is from RNAcentral.
GAUCAUGGCUCAGGAUGAACGCUAGCUACAGGCUUAACACAUGCAAGUCGAGGGGCAUCAGGGUGUAGCAAUACACCGCUGGCGACCGGCGCACGGGUGAGUAACACGUAUCCAACCUGCCCUUUACUCGGGGAUAGCCUUUCGAAAGAAAGAUUAAUACCCGAUGGUAUAACAUGACCUCCUGGUUUUGUUUAUUAAAGAAUUCGGUUAGAGGAUGGGGAGUGCGUUCCAUUAGGCAGUUGGCAGGGUAACGGG